RNAcentral lists this small RNA (452 nucleotides) under Lacimicrobium alkaliphilum. Its description in RNAcentral is "cspA thermoregulator". It matches the Rfam family "cspA thermoregulator". The record is from Rfam by way of RNAcentral. Lineage: Bacteria; Pseudomonadati; Pseudomonadota; Gammaproteobacteria; Alteromonadales; Alteromonadaceae.
CGUUAUUUACAACAUAGUUAUGCUUUAAGAUCUAUUGCUACAUUUACCUCAAACGUUUUUGUCAUUAAGUCUUUGCGUGUUGCCCAAAUAAUUAAUCAGAUUCGCAGGCAUUAUUACUCAUCACAUUAUGUGUUGAGCGUUAGUUAUAUAUAUAUGUUUUUUGGAGACUUAAAUGUCAAAAACAACUGGUACCGUUAAGUGGUUUAACGAAGAUAAAGGUUUUGGUUUCAUUACACCUGCAGACAGCAGCAAGGACGUGUUUGUACACUUCCGCGCAAUCUCUGGUGACGGAUUCAAAACACUGGUAGAAGGCCAAUCUGUUUCUUUUGAAGUAGAACAAGGUCAAAAAGGUCCUCAGGCCGUUAACGUAGUUCCCCAGUAAAUUCUGACAGGCUUGUUUACAGGCCAAAUGACGAAUUCUUUAAAAGCCGCUGAUUUCAGCGGCUUUUUUG